Molecule: ribosomal RNA, 463 nt
Filed under: uncultured bacterium
Lineage: Bacteria
Description: partial 16S ribosomal RNA
Rfam family: Bacterial small subunit ribosomal RNA
Source: RNAcentral
GAUGAACGCUGACAGAAUGCUUAACACAUGCAAGUCGAUGGGGAAGUGGUGCUUGCACCAUGGUAACCAUGGCGGACGGGUGAGUAACACGUAAGGAACUUACCUGCGGGACCGGGAUAACAGCAGGAAACUGCUGACAAGACCGGAUAAGGUCAUUAAGCUGCAUAGCUUAGUGAUGAAAGGAGACGCCUGCGGAGAGCCUUGCGUCCUAUUAGCUAGUUGGUGGGGUAACGGCCCACCAAGGCGAAGAUAGGUAGCCGGCCUGAGAGGGUGGACGGCCACAAGGGGACUGAGAUACGGCCCUUACUCCUACGGGAGGCAGCAGUGGGGAAUAGUGGACAAUGGGGGCAACCCUGAUCCAGCAAUUCUGUGUGCACGAAGACGGUUUUCGGAUUGUAAAGUGCUUUCAGCAGGGAAGAAGGAAGUGACGGUACCUGCAGAAGAAGCGACGGCUAAAUACGUG